Molecule: ribosomal RNA, 490 nt
Filed under: uncultured bacterium
Lineage: Bacteria
Description: partial 16S ribosomal RNA
Rfam family: Bacterial small subunit ribosomal RNA
Source: RNAcentral
AUUGAACGCUGGCGGCAGGCCUAACACAUGCAAGUCGAACGGUAACAGGAAACAGCUUGCUGUUUCGCUGACGAGUGGCGGACGUGUGAGUAAUGUCUGGGAAACUGCCUGAUGGAGGGGGAUAACUACUGGAAACGGUAGCUACUACCGCAUAACGUCGCAAGACCAAAGAGGGGGACCUUCGGGCCUCUUGCCAUCGGAUGUGCCCAGAUGGGAUUAGCUAGUAGGUGGGGUAACGGCUCACCUAGGCGACGAUCCCUAGCUGGUCUGAGAGGAUGACCAGCCACACUGGAACUGAGACACGGUCCAGACUCCUACGGGAGGCAGCAGUGGGGAAUAUUGCACAAUGGGCGCAAGCCUGAUGCAGCCAUGCCGCGUGUAUGAAGAAGGCCUUCGGGUUGUAAAGUACUUUCAGCGGGGAGGAAGGGAGUAAAGUUAAUACCUUGACUCAUUGACGUUACCCGCAGAAGAAGCACCGGCUAACUCCGUG